RNAcentral lists this ribosomal RNA (834 nucleotides) under uncultured Alphaproteobacteria bacterium. Its description in RNAcentral is "bacterial SSU rRNA". It matches the Rfam family "Bacterial small subunit ribosomal RNA", at positions 8 to 888 of the family's 1533-position model. Lineage: Bacteria; Pseudomonadati; Pseudomonadota; Alphaproteobacteria. The record is from RNAcentral.
AGGGUUUGAUCAUGGCUCAGAACGAACGCUGGCGGCAUGCCUAACACAUGCAAGUCGAACGAGACCUUCGGGUCUAGUGGCGCACGGGUGCGUAACGCGUGGGAAUCUGCCCUUGGGUUCGGAACAACAGUUGGAAACGACUGCUAAUACCGGAUGAUGACUUCGGUCCAAAGAUUUAUCGCCCAGGGAUGAGCCCGCGUCGGAUUAGCUUGUUGGUGAGGUAAAAGCUCACCAAGGCGACGAUCCGUAGCUGGUCUGAGAGGAUGAUCAGCCACACUGGGACUGAGACACGGCCCAGACUCCUACGGGAGGCAGCAGUGGGGAAUAUUGGACAAUGGGCGAAAGCCUGAUCCAGCAAUGCCGCGUGAGUGAUGAAGGCCUUAGGGUUGUAAAGCUCUUUUACCCGGGAUGAUAAUGACAGUACCGGGAGAAUAAGCCCCGGCUAACUCCGUGCCAGCAGCCGCGGUAAUACGGAGGGGGCUAGCGUUGUUCGGAAUUACUGGGCGUAAAGCGCACGUAGGCGGCUUUGUAAGUUAGAGGUGAAAGCCCAGGGCUCAACCCUGGAAUUGCCUUUAAGACUGCAUCGCUUGAAUCAUGGAGAGGUGAGUGGAAUUCCGAGUGUAGAGGUGAAAUUCGUAGAUAUUCGGAAGAACACCAGUGGCGAAGGCGACUCACUGGACAUGUAUUGACGCUGAGGUGCGAAAGCGUGGGGGAGCAAACAGGAUUAGAUACCCUGGUAGUCCACGCCGUAAACGAUGAUGACUAGCUGUCGGGGCGCUUGCGUUUCGGUGGCGCAGCUAACGCGUUAAGUCAUCCGCCUGGGGAGUACGGCCG